UGGGGAAUAUUGGACAAUGGGCGGAAGCCUGAUCCAGCCAUGCCGCGUGUGUGAAGAAGGCCUUUUGGUUUUAAAGCACUUUAAGCGAGGAGGAGGCUCUUCUAGUUAAUACCUAGGAUGAGUGGACGUUACUCGCAGAAUAAGCACCGGCUAACUCUGUGCCAGCAGCCGCGGUAAUACAGAGGGUGCGAGCGUUAAUCGGAUUUACUGGGCGUAAAGCGUGCGUAGGCGGCUGAUUAAGUCGGAUGUGAAAUCCCUGAGCUUAACUUGGGAAUUGCAUUCGAUACUGGUUAGCUAGAGUGUGGGAGAGGAUGGUAGAAUUCCAGGUGUAGCGGUGAAAUGCGUAGAGAUCUGGAGGAAUACCGAUGGCGAAGGCAGCCAUCUGGCCUAACACUGACGCUGAGGUACGAAAGCAUGGGGAGCAAACAGG
Molecule: ribosomal RNA, 430 nt
Filed under: Pseudomonadota bacterium
Lineage: Bacteria; Pseudomonadati; Pseudomonadota
Description: Proteobacteria bacterium partial 16S ribosomal RNA
Rfam family: Bacterial small subunit ribosomal RNA
Source: RNAcentral